CCAGAACCAGAAGUUCGGUUGUAACUUGGUGGAUUUCUGGGCACCUUUUCUAAAGUGACACAGUAAAAAAUGAACAGCAAUAAUUUUCUUUCUUUAACCUUUCAUAAAGAAAAAUGAGGCUGUUAAUUUUCACCAUAUUGUUCAUACAUGAAUAAAUAUCAGAGUUCCAACAUUCGCCAGCUUUACUGUACAAACUGAAUAUUGAAAUUAAGUAUUUAGUUAGGAAUUUAAAUAUUUAAUUUGAUAGCUAAAUAUUAUGACGUAAUUUCUCCCUCUGACCAGAACCGAACCACGAACCCAGUCGCCUCCUCUGUUCCUGGAGAGUUUCAUUGUUAGAGCGCCUCAUGCUGGCCAGGUUCUGUUACUACAGCACGUCGGGUCUUCAUGGGUUUGCAUGAAAACAUUUUCAGAAAAAACGUCAUGUUCACCAGGAACCUAAAAAAAACACACAAACAAAAAGUGGAGAAAACUUUCAGGUUUGACCAGCCGACUGGACGGCGGCCGCGUGUGGCCCCCGAGCCGCGUGUUGAGCCCCUCGGUGACGUGGUGAGUGAUGCGCGGCCGCCCUGGUGUUGAGAAAUGGCCGGAUUCUGGCAGCGCUGCCAUCGGCCUGAUUCACAACACCAGCUGCAGCAGCACGUCAGAGAGGAGGUUCGGCUGUCGGUCCGGUUCCGAUGCGCCUGCAGCAGACAGAACUGCAGGGAGGAUGAUGAGGACGAAGGCCCCGAACCGGAACCGGCAGCCAUCUGCCAACAGGCAACACGCCGCAGAUCACCGCGCCUGCAGCAACUUGUCCUCAGACAUUCUGGAUGAUUUACUGUCAAAAACAAAACCAUGAAGAAUGAAAUGAUGAUCUGAAGGUUUUUCUUCCAUUUUCAGGAAAUGCUGACAAAUGAUUCGUCCGACACUGAACAGUUUUUUAAAUGAUCAGCCAAUCAGCGAGCAGAUCUAAAUCUGCUGCUUGAAUCCAGAAAAAUGACUAAAAUCUGAUUUAAUUAGCAACCAGUUGAUGAGAUGGUCCUAAAGCUCAAGCUACAUCUGCGAUCAGAGACUUCCUGUCGGAAGUGGAUUGGGUCAGAGGAUGAUUAAGGGUCAGGUGUUUCAUCUCCAUGGAGACAGUCCAACAGAACCAGCGUCCCCUUCUGCACAUUUAGAACAAACUUCAGUUUUUCAUGAUUUUUUGAGUCAAAAAAACUUUUUAGACGAAGGAAAUAAAGAUCAACAUCUGGAACACGACGUGUUCAUUUACAGUAAAUCAUUUCUGACCCGCAGCCCUGAACGCAUCCUGCUGGUUGAGCACCUACCACUUUUUUCUUCCACUCAACUUUCCAUUAAUACACUUGGAUGCAAAAAUGAAUAUGGAGAUAACUGAACAGGCCCGCUUUAUCAUUCUUUAUGAUUAUUGUAACUAUAAACUGGAUUCGGGGUUUUAAUUGCUGGAAGCCGUAAAAUAAACUUCUGAAAUAUUUUUGCUCCA
Long non-coding RNA from Xiphophorus hellerii (green swordtail), 1477 nucleotides. RefSeq lists it as uncharacterized. The record is from RefSeq and is a predicted model, not a curated record. The transcript has 2 exons. NCBI's taxonomy places the organism in Eukaryota, Metazoa, Chordata, Actinopteri, Cyprinodontiformes, Poeciliidae.